AUACGUAGGUGGCAAGCGUUGUCCGGAUUUAUUGGGCGUAAAGCGAGCGCAGGCGGUUUCUUAAGUCUGAUGUGAAAGCCCCCGGCUCAACCGGGGAGGGUCAUUGGAAACUGGGAGACUUGAGUGCAGAAGAGGAGAGUGGAAUUCCAUGUGUAGCGGUGAAAUGCGUAGAUAUAUGGAGGAACACCAGUGGCGAAGGCGGCUCUCUGGUCUGUAACUGACGCUGAGGCUCGAAAGCGUGGGGAGCAAACAGGAUUAGAUACCCUGGUAGUCCACGCCGUAAACGAUGAGAGCUAAGUGUUGGAGGGUUUCCGCCCUUCAGUGCUGCAGCAAACGCAUUAAGCACUCCGCCUGGGGAGUACGACCGCAAGGUUGAAACUCAAAGGAAUUGACGGGG
RNAcentral lists this ribosomal RNA (397 nucleotides) under uncultured bacterium. RNAcentral's name for it is "partial 16S ribosomal RNA". It matches the Rfam family "Bacterial small subunit ribosomal RNA", at positions 523 to 918 of the family's 1533-position model. The record is from RNAcentral.